Molecule: non-coding RNA, 197 nt
Organism: Salvia hispanica
Lineage: Eukaryota; Viridiplantae; Streptophyta; Magnoliopsida; Lamiales; Lamiaceae
Source: RefSeq, a predicted model, not a curated record
UUCUCGUCUUCAUGCCGUUAAAGCUGAAGUACUUGUUCUUGCUAGUGGCAAGGAUGGCAUGCUUCCCAGUAGAGAUGAAGCUUGGAGGCUCUUAAAAUCACUGAAAAAUUGCAAUAUAAGAUACUUCAAAGACAAUGGGCAUACCAUAUUAUUGGAGGAUGGUAUUAAUCUAUUGACCAUUAUCAAAGCUACCCAAU